AUAUAACUACUAAUUCUAAAAAUCAUCUCAUUUGCUGAUAUUGUUCUCUAUUGAAAAUCAUCUACAUCUGUAUGUAAUUCCUUCUGAAUCCUCUGAAUCAUCUCUCUCUCAUUGUCAUCAUUCUCUGUCAUUUUCAUCUCAAUAUCAACAUUCAUUUCUGCAAACUUGUGAAUUGAUGUUGAUGCUCUUGAAGACUCAGAGCUAAGAGUCAUUUGCUGUUUGAAAGAGAAGAUUUCAGAAAGAUUGAAAGCUGUGCAUUUACUCAUCUAUAUCAUUGUCAACUUCUGCAUCAAUCUGAGGAUCAUUUCAUCAAUUCUAACUUAUAUUUUCACUGAAAAUGUUGAG
Molecule: small RNA, 345 nt
Filed under: Histoplasma ohiense
Lineage: Eukaryota; Fungi; Ascomycota; Eurotiomycetes; Onygenales; Ajellomycetaceae
Description: hypothetical lncRNA
Source: RNAcentral